GUAAUAGUGUAGUGGUUAUCACAUCUGCUUCAUACGUAGAAGGUCCUAGGUUCAAUUCCUAGUGGAAGCU
This is a non-coding RNA of Protopterus annectens (West African lungfish), 70 nucleotides long. The record is from the annotation of a RefSeq genome assembly. Lineage: Eukaryota; Metazoa; Chordata; Ceratodontiformes; Protopteridae.